CCUACGGGUGGCUGCAGUGGGGAAUUUUGGACAAUGGGGGAAACCCUGAUCCAGCCAUGCCGCGUGCGGGAAGAAGGCCUUCGGGUUGUAAACCGCUUUUGUCGGGGAAGAAACGCGCCGAGCUAAUACCUUGGCGUAAUGACGGUACCCGAAGAAUAAGCACCGGCUAACUACGUGCCAGCAGCCGCGGUAAUACGUAGGGUGCAAGCGUUAAUCGGAAUUACUGGGCGUAAAGCGUGCGCAGGCGGCUUUGCAAGACAGAUGUGAAAUCCCCG
RNAcentral lists this ribosomal RNA (275 nucleotides) under uncultured bacterium. Its description in RNAcentral is "partial 16S ribosomal RNA". It matches the Rfam family "Bacterial small subunit ribosomal RNA", at positions 338 to 605 of the family's 1533-position model. The record is from RNAcentral.